AAUCAACGCUGGCGGCGUGCCUAACACAUGCAAGUCGAACGCGAAAGCCCGCAAGGGUAAGUAGAGUGGCGCACGGGUGAGUAACACGUGGACAACCUGCCUUCGAGUGGGGAAUAACCUUCCGAAAGGAGGGCUAAUACCGCAUAACACCUCGGGACACAAGUUCUGGGGUUGAAAAGAGCAAUUUGCUCGAAGAGGGGUCCGCGCCUGAUUAGCUAGUUGGUGAGGUAACGGCUCACCAAGGCUUCGAUCAGUAGCCGUCCUGAGAGGAGCACGGCCACACUGGAACUGAGACACGGUCCAGACUCCUACGGGAGGCAGCAGUGGGGAAUUUUUGGCAAUGGGCGAAAGCCUGACCAAGCAACGCCGCGUGGGUGAUGAAGUAUCUUGGUACGUAAAACCCUUUUCGGCAGGGACGAACCUAAUGACGGUACCUGCGGAAGAAGCCCCGGCUAACUCCGUGCCAGCCGCCGCUGUAAC
Molecule: ribosomal RNA, 480 nt
Filed under: uncultured bacterium
Lineage: Bacteria
Description: bacterial SSU rRNA
Rfam family: Bacterial small subunit ribosomal RNA
Source: RNAcentral